GACGAACGCUGGCGGCGUGCUUAACACAUGCAAGUCGAACGAUGACGCCCGAGCUUGCUCGGUCUGAUUAGUGGCGAACGGGUGAGUAACACGUGAGCAACCUGCCCUUCACUCUGGGAUAACCUCGGGAAAUCGGGGCUAAUACCGGAUAUGAGCUCCUGUCGCAUGGCGGGGGUUGGAAAGUUUUUCGGUGAAGGAUGGGCUCGCGGCCUAUCAGUUUGUUGGUGAGGUAGUGGCUCACCAAGGCGACGACGGGUAGCCGGCCUGAGAGGGCGACCGGCCACACUGGGACUGAGGCACGGCCCAGACUCCUACGGGAGGCAACAGUGGGGAAUAUUGCACAAUGGGCGAAAGCCUGAUGCAGCGACGCCGCGUGAGGGAUGACGGCCUUCGGGGUGUAAACCUCUUUCAGCAGGGAAGAAGCGAAAGUGACGGUACCUGCAGAAGAAGCGCCGGCUAACUACGUG
This 467-nucleotide ribosomal RNA is filed under the name uncultured bacterium. Its description in RNAcentral is "partial 16S ribosomal RNA". It matches the Rfam family "Bacterial small subunit ribosomal RNA", at positions 28 to 507 of the family's 1533-position model. The record is from RNAcentral.